This 77-nucleotide transfer RNA is filed under the name Clostridia bacterium. RNAcentral's name for it is "tRNA-Met". It matches the Rfam family "tRNA". From Rfam's summary of the family: Transfer RNA (tRNA) molecules are approximately 80 nucleotides in length. Their secondary structure includes four short double-helical elements and three loops (D, anti-codon, and T loops). Further hydrogen bonds mediate the characteristic L-shaped molecular structure. tRNAs have two regions of fundamental functional importance: the anti-codon, which is responsible for specific mRNA codon recognition, and the 3' end, to which the tRNAs corresponding amino acid is attached (by aminoacyl-tRNA synthetases). tRNAs cope with the degeneracy of the genetic code in two manners: having more than one tRNA (with a specific anti-codon) for a particular amino acid; and 'wobble' base-pairing, i.e. permitting non-standard base-pairing at the 3rd anti-codon position. The record is from RNAcentral. Lineage: Bacteria; Bacillati; Bacillota; Clostridia.
GGCUGUAUAGCUCAGUUGGCUAGAGCAUGCGGUUCAUACCCGCAGUGUCGUAGGUUCGACUCCUACUACAGCCACCA